Molecule: ribosomal RNA, 440 nt
Filed under: uncultured bacterium
Lineage: Bacteria
Description: partial 16S ribosomal RNA
Rfam family: Bacterial small subunit ribosomal RNA
Source: RNAcentral
CCUACGGGAGGCAGCAGUAGGGAAUAUUGCACAAUGGGGGGAACCCUGAAGCAGCAACGCCGCGUGGAGGAUGAAGGUCUUCGGAUUGUAAACUCCUUUUGGUAGAGAAGAUAAUGACGGUAUCUAACGAAUAAGCACCGGCUAACUCCGUGCCAGCAGCCGCGGUAAUACGGAGGGUGCAAGCGUUACUCGGAUUCACUGGGCGUAAAGAGCGCGUAGGCGGGGUAGCAAGUCAGAUGUGAAAUCCUAGGGCUUAACCAUAGAACUGCAUUUGAAACUGCUUUUCUGGAGUAGGGGAGAGGUAGGUGGAAUUCUUGGUGUAGCGGUGAAAGGCGUAGAGAUCAAGAGGAAUACUCAUGGCGAAGGCGACCUGCUAGAACAUAACUGACGCUGAUGCGCGAAAGCGUGGGGAGCAAACAGGAUUAGAUACCCCAGUAGUC